UAUUGCGCAAUGGAGGAAACUCUGACGCAGUGACGCCGCGUGAGGGAUGAAGGUCUUCGGAUCGUAAACCUCUGUCAGCAGGGAAGAACGGUCACUGUGCUAAUCAGCAGUGAAUUGACGGUACCUGCAAAGGAAGCACCGGCUAACUCCGUGCCAGCAGCCGCGGUAAUACGGAGGGUGCGAGCGUUAAUCGGAAUGACUGGGCGUAAAGCGCUCGUAGGCGGUAUGUCAAGUCAAGGGUGAAAUCCCCGCGCUCAACGUGGGAACUGCCGUUGAAACUGGCAAACUGGAGUGUGUGAGAGGAUAGUGGAAUUCCAGGUGUAGGAGUGAAAUCCGUAGAUACCUGGAGGAACAUCAGUGGCGAAGGCGACUAUCUGGCACAUAACUGACGCUGAGGAGCGAAAGCGUGGGUAGCAAACAGG
This 422-nucleotide ribosomal RNA is filed under the name uncultured bacterium. Its description in RNAcentral is "bacterial SSU rRNA". It matches the Rfam family "Bacterial small subunit ribosomal RNA", at positions 362 to 776 of the family's 1533-position model. The record is from RNAcentral.